CUUCGAAACGUGGGUUCCUCUCUACGCUGACAAGAUCAUUCGUCUGGCGAAACGUGAAGGGAAACUCGCAUUGCCAGAGGAAGAGAUCAAUCUGGAAAAUUGGUCCGCGUCAGUGUGGAAGAAUCAAAGAGAUUCUUCAUUGAUGUUAAGCCUGUCGGAACUAACAUGGUGGAGUAUUUGGAGGAAGCCAAAUCGUUCAGGUCGUGCCCGUUCGUGCUGCUGCUUAACGAUGGGAUGCUGUGCUCUCAAGCCUUUGUUGUCAUCUCAGGCACGGCUAUUGAGACCGAGACGGCUCUCGCAGCGGUGGAUACUUGUUUUAAGACUUUUUAUGUCUUUGACAUCCAAUAUCCAAGCCAGUGUUUGCCUACUUGGCAAUUUCUCCAGGAUGUGGUGUAUGAACUCCAAGGAACUGUUUCCCCAGCAGUGAAGUUCCUGAAAUCCCAACUACAUGCAUGCAAAUAGACUGGCCUGCAACCCCCCCACCCAUCUCUUCCUUUCUCUCUCCUCUCCCUCUGUUGUUUAAUUUU
Molecule: long non-coding RNA, 527 nt
Organism: Notothenia coriiceps (black rockcod)
Lineage: Eukaryota; Metazoa; Chordata; Actinopteri; Perciformes; Nototheniidae
Exons: 3
Source: RefSeq, a predicted model, not a curated record